GCUCUUAUCGUUUAAUGGUUUAGGACAAUGCUUUUUCGUAGCAUAAAUGUGGGUUCGAAUCCCACUAGGAGUA
RNAcentral lists this transfer RNA (73 nucleotides) under Agarophyton chilense. Its description in RNAcentral is "tRNA-Glu". It matches the Rfam family "tRNA". Rfam says of the family: Transfer RNA (tRNA) molecules are approximately 80 nucleotides in length. Their secondary structure includes four short double-helical elements and three loops (D, anti-codon, and T loops). The record is from RNAcentral. Lineage: Eukaryota; Rhodophyta; Florideophyceae; Gracilariales; Gracilariaceae.